This 513-nucleotide ribosomal RNA is filed under the name uncultured bacterium. Its description in RNAcentral is "bacterial SSU rRNA". It matches the Rfam family "Bacterial small subunit ribosomal RNA", at positions 15 to 518 of the family's 1533-position model. The record is from RNAcentral.
GAUCCUGGCUCAGGAUGAACGCUAGCUACAGGCUUAACACAUGCAAGUCGAGGGGCAGCAUGAUCAAAGCUUGCUUGAUUGAUGGCGACCGGCGCACGGGUGAGUAACGCGUAUCCAACCUUCCCUAUAGUAGUGGAUAGCCCGGCGAAAGUCGGAUUAAUACACUAUGUUGUAUUUAGAGGACAUCUGAAGAAUACCAAAGGUUUACCGCUAUAGGAUGGGGAUGCGUCUGAUUAGAUAGUAGGCGGGGUAACGGCCCACCUAGUCGACGAUCAGUAGGGGUUCUGAGAGGAAGGUCCCCCACAUUGGAACUGAGACACGGUCCAAACUCCUACGGGAGGCAGCAGUGAGGAAUAUUGGUCAAUGGACGGGAGUCUGAGCCAGCCAAGUAGCGUGCAGGAUGACGGCCCUAUGGGUUGUAAACUGCUUUUAUACGGGGAUAAAGUGAGCCACGUGUGGCUUUUUGUAGGUACCGUAUGAAUAAGGACCGGCUAAUUCCGUGCCAGCAGCAGC